GAUCUAAUGCUUAAAGAGGCCAAGACACCUAAGCAUGACCAAUAUGCAGUAUGUAAAAAUACUCCUUUGAAAGCAUGCCUUGUAAUUCAAGCCACUUUGAUGUGGAGCAUCAAAAUGCUUGUUUCUCUGUAUGCUUAUAGAGAAAAAAGUAUCAACCUGAGGCCCCACAUCAUUUGCCCAUGUAUUAGAAAGCAAUCAUGAGGUACUCGGAAGGAAACCAUGAUCUAUUUCUGGCACCAAGGGAUGAUGGAAAAGGAGAAAAAAUGGAAAUACAAACUGUGUGCAGUAUCUGCUCUGAACUUUAAACAUCAAUGCAGAAUUUUUGGCAGAUGGAUUGUUUCUAUUUUGUUGGUUUUAAGAACUGAGGCCAUAAUUAAGAGGGAUGCUUGGGGGCUUUCGUUUUGUGUCUCUAAAGGUGAAAUUCUUGGACCAGUGCAAGACGGACCAGAGGGAAAGCAUUUGCCAAGAAUGUUUUCAUUAAUCAAGAAAGACAGUCGGAAUGUCAAGGAUGAUCAGACACUGUCAUAAUUCUCACCAUAAAUGAUGCUGACUGUGGAUGCAGCGGCGUUAUUCCCUUGAUCCCCAGGCAGCUUCCAGGAAACUUAAGUCUUUCGGUUCUGGAGGAAAUAUGGUUGCAAAGCAGAAACUUAAAGUAACUGAUGGAAGGGCACCACUAGGAGUGGAGCCUGUGGCUUAAUUUGACACAACACGGGAAACUUCAGCCAGUCCCGAUAUGGACAGGAUUGACAGAUUAAUAGUUCUUUCUCGAUUCCAUGGGUGGUGGUGCAUGGCCGUUCUUAGUUGGUGGAGCUAUUUGUCUGGUUAGUUCUGAUAAGAAAGGAGACUCUGGCAUGCUAACUAGUUAAGUGACCUUGAGCUGUCAGCAUCCCCCAACUUCUUAGAGGGACAAGUGGCAUUCAAACACCCGAUUGAGAAAUAACAUGUCUAUGAUGCCCUUACAUGUCUGGGCUGAACACACACAACACUGACUGGCUCAGUGUGUGCCUACUUUAUGCUGGCAGGUCUGGGUUCCUCGUUGAUGGGGAUCGGGGAUUGCAAUUAUUCCCCAUGAACAAGGAAUUCCCAGUAAGUGCGGGUCACAAGAUUGGGUUGAUUAAAUCCCUGCCCUUUGUACACACAGCCCAUCACUACAAUUGGAUGGUUUAGUGAGGCCCUCGGAUAGUCCCUGCUGGGGUCGGCCCUGCUGGGGUCGGCCCAUGGCACUGGCUGAGUGCUGAGAAGACAGUCAAACUUGACCACCUAGAGGAAGUAAAAAUUGCAAGGAUCAUUA
Non-coding RNA from Cricetulus griseus (Chinese hamster), 1291 nucleotides. NCBI's taxonomy places the organism in Eukaryota, Metazoa, Chordata, Mammalia, Rodentia, Cricetidae. The record is from Rfam.